Molecule: long non-coding RNA, 699 nt
Organism: Brassica napus (rape)
Lineage: Eukaryota; Viridiplantae; Streptophyta; Magnoliopsida; Brassicales; Brassicaceae
Exons: 2
Source: RefSeq, a predicted model, not a curated record
UGCUAUCUCUGACAAAAGUUCUUGAAUAAUGAUUUUUUCAGUAACACCAGUCUCAUCUAUUAUUUCAAACAUGCUGAGAGAAUGACGCUUUGAUUAUGCAUUAUCAACUUUUGAGGCGUAUUAUAUUAAGAGAAAUUGCAUUGCAUAUACAAACAUAACCCCUUAAUUUGCAGCGAUGGAAAGUAUACUUUUUUGAUGUCGUGUAUUUUCGUAUUGUCCAUACUGUCCCUAUUUAUAUUUUCAAAACUAUCUGGUCUAUAUAUAUUUACAACGCAUGAGAAACUGUGUUGUGUCAGGAGAAGCACGAUAAUCGAUACAUGCAUUCUCUAGAAACUGACUCUCUUCAUCUCCCUUCUCCCCCCAAAUUAUUUUCUUAUCUGUGUCAGGAAAGUGAUUUGCAUUUUCCCAGAAAAAAAAGCUUCUCUUUUGUUCUCCGUUUUCUUAGCAUUUUCCUGAAGCCAUGAAGAAUGAAUCGAAUCUCAGAAAAAAAACUGUUACUUUAGCCCUUUUAAUUUUAAAGAUAAAUAUUUUGUUUCAUUGCUUUGCAACUUCGGAGCAGAGGAGGAUCUUCUUCUUAUCAUGUUUUUUGUUGCCAAAGAUGUUUGUAUCCUGUGAUAUAUGUGAAGUAAAAUAUGCAUCUCUAGAAACAUGAGUUUUGCCAUUUCAAAAUAAAGACAGUCAAUUGUUCAAAUAGCCGUA